This 253-nucleotide ribosomal RNA is filed under the name uncultured bacterium. Its description in RNAcentral is "partial 16S ribosomal RNA". It matches the Rfam family "Bacterial small subunit ribosomal RNA", at positions 524 to 776 of the family's 1533-position model. The record is from RNAcentral.
UACGUAGGGGGCAAGCGUUGUCCGGAUUUAUUGGGCGUAAAGAGCGUGUAGGCGGCCAGGUAGGUCUGCUGUGAAAACUCGAGGCUCAACCUCGAGAUGUCGGCGGAAACCAUCUGGCUAGAGUCCGGAAGAGGAGAAUGGAAUUCCCGGUGUAGCGGUGAAAUGCGCAGAUAUCGGGAAGAACACCCGUGGCGAAGGCGGUUCUCUGGGACGGUACUGACGCUGAGACGCGAAAGCGUGGGGAGCGAACGGG